Molecule: transfer RNA, 74 nt
Filed under: Bacteroidota bacterium
Lineage: Bacteria; Pseudomonadati; Bacteroidota
Also listed under: 1 other name
Description: Bacteroidetes bacterium tRNA-OTHER
Rfam family: tRNA
About the family: Transfer RNA (tRNA) molecules are approximately 80 nucleotides in length. Their secondary structure includes four short double-helical elements and three loops (D, anti-codon, and T loops). Further hydrogen bonds mediate the characteristic L-shaped molecular structure. tRNAs have two regions of fundamental functional importance: the anti-codon, which is responsible for specific mRNA codon recognition, and the 3' end, to which the tRNAs corresponding amino acid is attached (by aminoacyl-tRNA synthetases). tRNAs cope with the degeneracy of the genetic code in two manners: having more than one tRNA (with a specific anti-codon) for a particular amino acid; and 'wobble' base-pairing, i.e. permitting non-standard base-pairing at the 3rd anti-codon position.
Source: RNAcentral
ACCGGCGUAGCUUAAACGGAAAAAGCAGGAGGCCUCUCAACCUCACGAUCUCAGUUCAAGUCUGGGCGCCGGUG